This 28-nucleotide non-coding RNA is filed under the name Bombyx mori (domestic silkworm). The record is from RNAcentral. Lineage: Eukaryota; Metazoa; Arthropoda; Insecta; Lepidoptera; Bombycidae.
UGGGCUGAGUGCAGAACCUUGAGGUGAU